ACGAACGCUGGCGGCGUGCUUAACACAUGCAAGUCGAACGGAAAGGCCCUGCUUUUGUGGGGUGCUCGAGUGGCGAACGGGUGAGUAACACGUGAGUAACCUGCCCUUGACUUUGGGAUAACUUCAGGAAACUGGGGCUAAUACCGGAUAGGAGCUCCUGCUGCAUGGUGGGGGUUGGAAAGUUUCGGCGGUUGGGGAUGGACUCGCGGCUUAUCAGCUUGUUGGUGGGGUAGUGGCUUACCAAGGCUUUGACGGGUAGCCGGCCUGAGAGGGUGACCGGCCACAUUGGGACUGAGAUACGGCCCAGACUCCUACGGGAGGCAGCAGUGGGGAAUAUUGCACAAUGGGCGGAAGCCUGAUGCAGCAACGCCGCGUGCGGGAUGACGGCCUUCGGGUUGUAAACCGCUUUCACCUGUGACGAAGCGUGAGUGACGGUAAUGGGUAAAGAAGCACCGGCUAACUACGUG
RNAcentral lists this ribosomal RNA (467 nucleotides) under uncultured bacterium. Its description in RNAcentral is "partial 16S ribosomal RNA". It matches the Rfam family "Bacterial small subunit ribosomal RNA", at positions 29 to 507 of the family's 1533-position model. The record is from RNAcentral.